This 451-nucleotide ribosomal RNA is filed under the name uncultured bacterium. RNAcentral describes it as "partial 16S ribosomal RNA". It matches the Rfam family "Bacterial small subunit ribosomal RNA", at positions 29 to 523 of the family's 1533-position model. The record is from RNAcentral.
AACGAACGCUGGCGGCAGGCCUAACACAUGCAAGUCGAGCGCUCACCUUCGGGUGGGAGCGGCGCACGGGUGAGUAACACGUGGGAACCUACCUUGAAGUACGGAAUAACUGAGGGAAACUUCAGCUAAUACCGUAUACGCCCUACGUGGGAAAGAUUUAUCGCUUCAAGACGGGCCCGCGUUGGAUUAGCUAGUGGGUGAGGUAAUGGCUCACCAAGGCAACGAUCCAUAGCUGAUUUGAGAGAAUGAUCAGCCACACUGGGACUGAGACACGGCCCAGACUCCUACGGGAGGCAGCAGUGGGGAAUAUUGGACAAUGGGCGCAAGCCUGAUCCAGUCAUGCCGCGUGAGUGAUGAAGGCCUUCGGGUUGUAAAGCUCUUUCAGAUGGGACGAUGAUGACGGUACCAUCAGAAGAAGCCCCGGCUAACUUCGUGCCAGCAGCCGCCGCGG